UAGCUAGUUGGUGGGGUAAGGGCCUACCAAGGCGACGAUCGGUAGCUGGUCUGAGAGGAUGACCAGCCACACUGGAACUGAGACACGGUCCAGACUCCUACGGGAGGCAGCAGUGGGGAAUAUUGGACAAUGGGGGCAACCCUGAUCCAGCAAUGCCGCGUGUGUGAAGAAGGCCUGAGGGUUGUAAAGCACUUUCAGUGGGGAGGAGGGUUGAUAGGUUAAGAGCUAAUUAACUGGACGUUACCCACAGAAGAAGCACCGGCUAACUCCGUGCCAGCAGCCGCGGUAAUACGGAGGGUGCGAGCGUUAAUCGGAAUUACUGGGCGUAAAGGGUGCGUAGGUGGUUGAUUAAGUUAUCUGUGAAAUUCCUGGGCUCAACCUGGGACGGUCAGAUAAUACUGGUUGACUCGAGUAUGGGAGAGGGUAGUGGAAUUUCCGGUGUAGCGGUGAAAUGCGUAGAGAUCGGAAGGAACACCAGUGGCGAAGGCGGCUACCUGGCCUAAUACUGACACUGAGGCACGAAAGCGUGGGGAGCAAACAGGAUUAGAUACCCUGGUAGUCCACGCUGUAAACGAUGUCAACUAGCUGUUGGUUAUAUGAAAAUAAUUAGUGGCGC
This 616-nucleotide ribosomal RNA is filed under the name uncultured Legionella sp. RNAcentral's name for it is "bacterial SSU rRNA". It matches the Rfam family "Bacterial small subunit ribosomal RNA", at positions 242 to 849 of the family's 1533-position model. Lineage: Bacteria; Pseudomonadati; Pseudomonadota; Gammaproteobacteria; Legionellales; Legionellaceae. The record is from RNAcentral.